This 465-nucleotide ribosomal RNA is filed under the name Salmonella enterica. RNAcentral describes it as "partial 23S ribosomal RNA". It matches the Rfam family "Bacterial large subunit ribosomal RNA", at positions 1292 to 1757 of the family's 2925-position model. Lineage: Bacteria; Pseudomonadati; Pseudomonadota; Gammaproteobacteria; Enterobacterales; Enterobacteriaceae. The record is from RNAcentral.
GAAUGCUGACAUAAGUAACGAUAAAGCGGGUGAAAAGCCCGCUCGCCGGAAGACCAAGGGUUCCUGUCCAACGUUAAUCGGGGCAGGGUGAGUCGACCCCUAAGGCGAGGCCGAAAGGCGUAGUCGAUGGGAAACAGGUUAAUAUUCCUGUACUUGGUGUUACUGCGAAGGGGGGACGGAGAAGGCUAUGUUGGCCGGGCGACGGUUGUCCCGGUUUAAGCGUGUAGGUGUGUGUUCCAGGUAAAUCCGGUUCACUCUAACACUGAGGCGUGACGACGAGGCACUACGGUGCUGAAGCAACAAAUGCCCUGCUUCCAGGAAAAGCCUCUAAGCAUCAGGUAACAUCAAAUCGUACCCCAAACCGACACAGGUGGUCAGGUAGAGAAUACCAAGGCGCUUGAGAGAACUCGGGUGAAGGAACUAGGCAAAAUGGUGCCGUAACUUCGGGAGAAGGCACGCUGACAU